Molecule: ribosomal RNA, 1155 nt
Filed under: Triticum aestivum (bread wheat)
Lineage: Eukaryota; Viridiplantae; Streptophyta; Magnoliopsida; Poales; Poaceae
Description: partial small subunit ribosomal RNA
Source: RNAcentral
AUGGACAUGGAUCAACAAAGAUAUUAUUAUUACAACAUGUUGAAGCGGAGAACUCUCUGUGUUAUUGUUCUACUCUUGGCCCUCUGGUAUAGAAGCAGAGAUGGUAGAAAAUUUAGAGAGGAACAAGUUGCAAUGUUCCUAUACAUGGUCGGUCAGCAUCACACAAAUUCAUCUGUUGGAUUUUGGUUCUGGCGAUCUAGUGAAACAGUGAGCAGAUAUUUCAAUAUUGUCCUACGUGCGAUGGGGGAGUUAGCACGUGAUCUAAUUUAUAUUAGAUCGACGGACACACACACAAAAAUCACUAGCAGCCCGAACAGAUUCUACCCGUACUUUGAGGGAUGCAUAGGGGCACUAGAUGGCACUCAUGUUAAGGCUUGUGUUCCUGCUCACAUGAUGGACAAAUUUAGGGGCCGCAAGUCAUAUCCCUCCCAAAAUGUGCUAGCAGUUGUUGACUUCGACCUUCGGUUCACAUAUGUUCUAGCUGGUUGGGAGGGCUCUGCCCAUGAUUCUCUUGUGCUAAAAGAUGCCCUCUCACGUCCAACUGUUGCUGAAGAUGGGUGUUUGUAUGCUGGUCGGGACUAUGCUUCUAGUGCAUUUGUUGAUGGCUCGCUUGCAACUGACCAAACCACUGUCAAUGUGGAUGAUGAUAGUGAUGACAGCGAGGAAGUGAGGGAACUUGAGGCCAAUCUAAUUCCAGUUGACAGUGAUGAAGCUGACUCUGACACUAUUAAUCGUCAUAGUCCUAAAGUUGACUUGGAAGGCAAUUCUUUAAACAAGAAGUGCAAGCACGUGUCAUCUUCACCUUCCAAGAAGCCAACUAAGGGGAAAGCAAACAAGAAGGGCAAGAUAUCUAAUGAUGAUAUGGCAGCCAGUAUCAAGAAGCUAGCUGACUCUCUUGCAUCUCCUAUUGUUUCUGUGCAACCAAUGCCACCUACAGAUCCAUAUGCAAACCUUUGGAAGCGGAUAAAUGCCCUUACCAUACCAGCUAAGGAUAAACUUGAGAUUGUAGCAUAUCUAUCCAAGCCAGAUCAAGAUAUCUUUCGUAGUUACCUCAACUAUGCUGAUGAAACAAUUCUUGGACAGUGGGUCCUUAGCUUCUUCGAGCCUCGGUUUCAAGAAGAUGGUGGCAAUGGUGGAUCUGCAACUGCUCACUGA